GAACAUUUUGGUGUGGCUCGGUUGAUGUUUACUGCACGCGGUUCAGACAGGAACUGUUUUAUAGCAGACAAAAGUGUCCACAGUCACAGAGUAGAGAGCCUCUGGCGUGAUCUCUGGAUAGGGGUCACUAGCAUAUUUUACACACACUAGAGGAACAGGACAUGCUGGAUCUGAGCAGCGCUCUUCAAUUAUUUUGCUGCCAUUUGGUGUUUUUGCCCCGACUGCAAGCAAACCUAGAUUUGUUUCAUGAGAGAUGGAAUAACCAUGGGAGAUCGGACAGAUGGAAAAUCCCAUUGUCAAAUCAGAGGUGAUGACCAUUCCUGAUAUCAAAAGAGAGGACAGUGGAUCUAUCGAAGAUAAAAACAUGGCGAUGAAUAAUCCAUAGUUUAAAGGGCCUAUAAGUCCUGAACAUAUGAAGCGGUUAAGACAACAUAUUAAUCCUUUUCAACCCUCCAAGUACAAUGGCAUGGACAUUUAUAUGAGUCCAGUUUGUGCAAAAGCUGCAUACUGAAAAGUAGAUCUUGUUGCAUGUACUGUGCUUUUCAUUAUUUUUAAACUAUGUUACUUUUUUACUAGUAGAUGUCAAAUAAGCAUCAUAUCUUGUUUAAUCUUUUUUUAUCGAGCACAUUACAAUGAACAUUAAGUCUUUAAAUCAGAAUAUUACUGCAUACAAAGCUAGCAAAUGACAAAGUUGCACAAAGUAACUAAAUUUCAUGGAUAAACCCACGGUCUACAGACAGUAGACAUAUCAUCAUGUCUGCUGUUAAAGCUGAGAAAGAUGUGUGACAACAAGUAUGCUUUU
Paramisgurnus dabryanus is the source of this 802-nucleotide non-coding RNA. Lineage: Eukaryota; Metazoa; Chordata; Actinopteri; Cypriniformes; Cobitidae. The record is from RefSeq and is a predicted model, not a curated record.